GAUGAACGCUGGCGGCGUGCUUAACACAUGCAAGUCGAACGGAAAGGCCCAAGCUUGCUUGGGUACUCGAGUGGCGAACGGGUGAGUAACACGUGGGUGAUCUGCCCUGCACUUCGGGAUAAGCCUGGGAAACUGGGUCUAAUACCGGAUAGGACGAUGGUUUGGAUGCCAUUGUGGAAAGUUUUUUCGGUGUGGGAUGAGCUCGCGGCCUAUCAGCUUGUUGGUGGGGUCAUGGCCUACCAAGGCGUCGACGGGUAGCCGGCCUGAGAGGGUGUACGGACACAUUGGGACUGAGAUACGGCCCAGACUCCUACGGGAGGCAGCAGUGGGGAAUAUUGCACAAUGGGCGCAAGCCUGAUGCAGCGACGCCGCGUGGGGGAUGACGGCCUUCGGGUUGUAAACUCCUUUCGCUAGGGACGAAGCGUUUUUGUGACGGUACCUGGAGAAGAAGCACCGGCUAACUACGUG
RNAcentral lists this ribosomal RNA (468 nucleotides) under uncultured bacterium. RNAcentral describes it as "partial 16S ribosomal RNA". It matches the Rfam family "Bacterial small subunit ribosomal RNA", at positions 28 to 507 of the family's 1533-position model. The record is from RNAcentral.